UGAAAGGCUCUCAUGAUUCCCUCCGGCAGGCGCAUACCAACAGCAGCCUUCAGAGUCAGCACGCCAGCCACGAUGACAGACCUACCUGCGCGAGGCUAAAGGCGAACGGAGACACAGUUUACCUUAAGUAUCUCAUAGUCCACAGCGCCUUCGAGAUAAAGACGAAAGCAAUGAAACAACUUCAGACCAUGUACGAGAUGCGCCACGAGAACAUCAAUCCCUUCCUGGGUUGCCUGGCGGACCCGUCGCAGCCGGCACUAGUGUGGGAGAUGUGCACGCGAGGUUCGCUCAACAGCGUGCUGGCCAGCGAAGACAUCCGCCUAGACUGGACCUUCCGGCUGUCGCUCCUCAACGACCUCG
This is a long non-coding RNA of Dermacentor silvarum, 360 nucleotides long. RefSeq lists it as uncharacterized. NCBI's taxonomy places the organism in Eukaryota, Metazoa, Arthropoda, Arachnida, Ixodida, Ixodidae. The transcript has 3 exons. The record is from RefSeq and is a predicted model, not a curated record.